Molecule: small RNA, 608 nt
Filed under: Pongo abelii (Sumatran orangutan)
Lineage: Eukaryota; Metazoa; Chordata; Mammalia; Primates; Hominidae
Description: retained intron
Source: RNAcentral
CUUACCGACUGAACCCCCAAGAGUAUCUUACCUCUACCGCCUGCCGCCGAAACCUAGCGGGUGAUGUCUGUGCCAUCAUGAGGGUCCAUGCCUUCCUAGAACAGUGGGGUCUUAUUAACUACCAGGUGGAUGCUGAGAGUCGACCAACCCCAAUGGGGCCUCCGCCUACCUCUCACUUCCAUGUCUUGGCUGACACACCAUCAGGGCUGGUGCCUCUGCAGCCCAAGACACCUCAGCAGACCUCUGCUUCCCAACAAAUGCUCAACUUUCCUGACAAAGGCAAAGAGAAACCAACAGACAUGCAAAACUUUGGGCUGCGCACAGACAUGUACACAAAAAAGAAUGUUCCCUCCAAGAGCAAAGCUGCAGCCAGUGCCACUCGUGAGUGGACAGAACAGGAAACCCUGCUUCUCCUGGAGGUAAUUGGGGCAAAGAAAAGAGAGUUUUUCUCUGAAAACAGAAGUGGGCUCCGUGUAGAGGCUCACGCCUGUAAUCCCAGCACUUUGGGAGGCCAAGGCAGGAGGAUCACUUGAGUCCAGGAGUUCGAGAUGAGCCUGGACAACAUAGUGAGACUCCGUCUCUACGAAAAAUUUUAAAAAUUAGCCAGG